UUUCUUUCGUUUAUCAACUUGGUUUGUUCAACAACUUUUUGUUUAAAUGCAAAAGGGUGAUACAAAAUGAAUUGUAAAAAGACGAGUGCACAGGGUGUAAAGAUAGUGGACCGGGCCUUCUCUUUGCAGAGGGACUCCCGUUAAAUUCACUAAUGAUCCUUCCGCAGGUUCACCUACGAAAA
RNAcentral lists this unclassified non-coding RNA (182 nucleotides) under uncultured fungus. Its description in RNAcentral is "sequence contains ITS1". The record is from RNAcentral. Lineage: Eukaryota; Fungi.